GACGAACGCUGGCGGCGUGCUUAACACAUGCAAGUCGAACGGAAAGGCCCUGCUUUUGUGGGGUGCUCGAGUGGCGAACGGGUGAGUAACACGUGAGUAACCUGCCCUUGACUUUGGGAUAACUUCAGGAAACUGGGGCUAAUACCUGAUAGGAGCUCCUGCUGCAUGGUGGGGGUUGGAAAGUUUCGGCGGUUGGGGUUGGACUCGCGGCUUAUCAGCUUGUUGGUGGGGUAGUGGCUUACCAAGGCUUUGACGGGUAGCCGGCCUGAGAGGGUGACCGGCCACAUUGGGACUGAGGUACGGCCCAGACUCCUACGGGAGGCAGCAGUGGGGAAUAUUGCACGAUGGGCGGAAGCCUGAUGCAGCAACGCCGCGUGCGGGAUGACGGCCUUCGGGUUGUAAACCGCUUUCGCCUGUGACGAAGCGUGAGUGACGGUAAUGGGUAAAGAAGCACCGGCUAACUACGUG
RNAcentral lists this ribosomal RNA (468 nucleotides) under uncultured bacterium. Its description in RNAcentral is "partial 16S ribosomal RNA". It matches the Rfam family "Bacterial small subunit ribosomal RNA", at positions 28 to 507 of the family's 1533-position model. The record is from RNAcentral.